RNAcentral lists this long non-coding RNA (631 nucleotides) under Lactuca sativa (garden lettuce). RNAcentral's name for it is "long non-coding RNA (LSAT_LNC004384)". Lineage: Eukaryota; Viridiplantae; Streptophyta; Magnoliopsida; Asterales; Asteraceae. The record is from RNAcentral.
CCCAAACAACCACUUAAGUCUAGAUGGACAAGCUUGUUUAGACAUCCAAUGGGAGUGCGAAGUUCUACCAAUUUAUGACACUCUUUGAGAGAUAGCUUCUUGAGAUUUGGAGUCAUCCCAAGGUCAAAGGUCCUCAAUUUUGAAUGACUAAUAUUGAGUUUGGUGAGCUUUUGACAUUCAUUGGCCAUGUGAAGUUCUUCCAAACAACGAGAUUCUUGAAGAUUUAACGUAUCUAGAUUUGGAGUCAUCCCAAGGUCAAAGGUCCUCAAUUUUGAAUGACUAAUAUUGAGUUUGGUGAGCUUUUGACAUUCAUUGGCCAUGUGAAGUUCUUCCAAACAACGAGAUUCUUGAAGAUUUAACGUAUCUAGAUUUGGAGUCAUCCCAAGGUCAAAGGUCCUCAAUUUUGAAUGACUAAUAUUGAGUUUGGUGAGCUUUUGACAUUCAUUGGCCAUGUGAAGUUCUUUCAAACAACAAGAUUCUUGAAGAGUUAACUUCUCUAUAUUUGGAGUCAUCCCAAGGUCAAAGGUCCUUAAUUUUGAAUGACUAAUAUUGAGUUUGGUGAGCUUUUGACAUUCAUUGGCCAUGUGAAGUUCUUUCAAACAACAAGAUUCUUGAAGAGUUAACUUCUCUA